Molecule: ribosomal RNA, 442 nt
Filed under: uncultured bacterium
Lineage: Bacteria
Description: partial 16S ribosomal RNA
Rfam family: Bacterial small subunit ribosomal RNA
Source: RNAcentral
CCUACGGGAGGCAGCAGUGGGGGAUAUUGCACAAUGGGGGAAACCCUGAUGCAGCGACGCCGCGUGGGCGAAGAAGUAUUUCGGUAUGGAAAGCUGUAUCAGCAGGGAAGAAGAAAUGACGGUAUCUGAGUAAGAAGCACCGGCUAAAUACGUGCCAGCAGCCGCGGUAAUACGUAUGGUGCAAGCGUUAUACGGAUUUACUGGGGGGAAAGGGAGCGAAGGCGGGAAGGCAAGCCUGAUGUGAAAGCCCGCGGCCCAACCGUGAGACUGCAUUGGGAACUACCAGGCUGGAGUGCCGGAGAGGUAGGCGGAAUUCGUAGUGUAGCGGUGAAAUGCGUAGAUAUUACGAGGAACACCAGUGGCGAAGGCGGCCUACUGGACGGUGACUGACGCUGAGGCUCGAAAGCGUGGGGAGCAAACAGGAUUAGAUACCCCAGUAGUC